This 119-nucleotide ribosomal RNA is filed under the name Pteropus alecto (black flying fox). The record is from RNAcentral. Lineage: Eukaryota; Metazoa; Chordata; Mammalia; Chiroptera; Pteropodidae.
CACUAUGGCCAUGCCACCCUGAAUGUGCCCAAUCUCAUCCGAUCUCGGAAGCUAAGCAGGGUCGGGCCUGAUUAGAACUUGCAUGGGAGACCACUGAGGAAUACCAGGUGCUGUAGGCA